This 337-nucleotide unclassified non-coding RNA is filed under the name soil metagenome. RNAcentral's name for it is "partial contains 5.8S ribosomal RNA, internal transcribed spacer 2, and large subunit ribosomal RNA". The stretch from base 1 to 120 matches the Rfam family "5.8S ribosomal RNA", at positions 35 to 154 of the family's 154-position model. The record is from RNAcentral.
GAUGAAGAACGUAGUGAAAUGCGAUAAGUAGUGUGAAUUGCAGAAUUCAGUGAAUCAUCGAAUCUUUGAACGCACAUUGCGCCCCAUGGUAUUCCGUGGGGCAUGCCUGUUCGAGCGUCAUUUACCCCCUCAAGCUCCGCUUGGUGUUGGGCGUCUGUCCCGCUUCGCGCGCGGACUCGCCCCAAAGGUAUUGGCAGCGGUCGUGCCAGCUUCUCGCGCAGCACAUUGCGCUUCUCGAGGCACCGGUGGGCCCGCGUCCAUCAAGCUCACCCCCCCAGUUUGACCUCGGAUCUGGUAGGGAUACCCGCUGAACUUAAGCAUAUCAAUAAGCGGAGGA